AGUGAACGCUGGCGGUAGGCCUAACACAUGCAAGUCGAACGGCAGCACAGUAAGAGCUUGCUCUUACGGGUGGCGAGUGGCGGACGGGUGAGGAAUACAUCGGAAUCUACUUUUUCGUGGGGGAUAACGUAGGGAAGCUUACGCUAAUACCGCAUACGACCUACGGGUGAAAGCAGGGGAUCUUCGGACCUUGCGCGAUUGAAUGAGCCGAUGUCGGAUUAGCUAGUUGGCGGGGUAAAGGCCCACCAAGGCGACGAUCCGUAGCUGGUCUGAGAGGAUGAUCAGCCACACUGGAACUGAGACACGGUCCAGACUCCUACGGGAGGCAGCAGUGGGGAAUAUUGGACAAUGGGCGCAAGCCUGAUCCAGCCAUACCGCGUGGGUGAAGAAGGCCUUCGGGUUGUAAAGCCCUUUUGUUGGGAAAGAAAAGCAGCAGGUUAAUACCCCGCUGUUCUGACGGUACCCAACGAAUAAGCACCGGCUAACUUCGUG
RNAcentral lists this ribosomal RNA (492 nucleotides) under uncultured bacterium. RNAcentral's name for it is "partial 16S ribosomal RNA". It matches the Rfam family "Bacterial small subunit ribosomal RNA", at positions 29 to 507 of the family's 1533-position model. The record is from RNAcentral.